Molecule: ribosomal RNA, 468 nt
Filed under: uncultured bacterium
Lineage: Bacteria
Description: partial 16S ribosomal RNA
Rfam family: Bacterial small subunit ribosomal RNA
Source: RNAcentral
GACGAACGCUGGCGGCGUGCUUAACACAUGCAAGUCGAACGGAAAGGCCCUGCUUCUGUGGGGUGCUCGAGUGGCGAACGGGUGAGUAACACGUGGGUAACCUGCCCUUGACUUUGGGAUAACUUCAGGAAACUGGGGCUAAUACCGGAUAGGAGCUCCUGCUGCAUGGUGGGGGUUGGAAAGUUUCGGCGGUUGGGGAUGGACUCGCGGCUUAUCAGCUUGUUGGUGGGGUAGUGGCUUACCAAGGCUUUGACGGGUAGCCGGCCUGAGAGGGUGACCGGCCACAUUGGGACUGAGAUACGGCCCAGACUCCUACGGGAGGCAGCAGUGGGGAAUAUUGCACAAUGGGCGGAAGCCUGAUGCAGCAACGCCGCGUGCGGGAUGACGGCCUUCGGGUUGUAAACCGCUUUCGCCUGUGACGAAGCGUGAGUGACGGUAAUGGGUAAAGAAGCACCGGCUAACUACGUG